This 344-nucleotide long non-coding RNA is filed under the name Homo sapiens (human). RNAcentral's name for it is "HSALNT0208818". The record is from RNAcentral. Lineage: Eukaryota; Metazoa; Chordata; Mammalia; Primates; Hominidae.
AAUGGUAUUUCAUUAUACACAUAAAGUAAGAGAGAAAAACGUAACAAAACAAGAUAUCAAAGAUGAAUUUAAACAAUGGAUUGUGAAAGCCUUGUUGCUUGCUUCUGUUUUUAAAAAUAUUUUGCUAUUUUUUCUUGGCUGCUGCCGUUGCUACAGUUGUAGUCUGCACAGAAUGAAGCCUUAAUCACACAGUCAUGCUGAAACAUGUUUACAAAGGGUACAUCAGAAUUGGAAUUGGAGUCAUGUCAAGAUGUUCUCACUGGCAAAGACAGGAGGAGGUUAAAAUAGCUCCUUGUAGGGCAGUAACCUCGGGAGAAAAAGAACUAAUAGAAAAUAAAUGGCAA